Long non-coding RNA from Carassius auratus (goldfish), 618 nucleotides. RefSeq lists it as uncharacterized. The transcript is spliced from 5 exons. NCBI's taxonomy places the organism in Eukaryota, Metazoa, Chordata, Actinopteri, Cypriniformes, Cyprinidae. The record is from RefSeq and is a predicted model, not a curated record.
AGAUGAUUUUGAGCGGUUGGGAGAUGUCAAAGCGCACGACUCUCUGUAAUGUAUUUACUUUAGUAUAUAUAUAUAUAUACACUAGGGCUGAAACAAUUACUCGACAUUAUCGACAACGUCAACGAUAAAAAUAAAAUUGUCGGCAAAUGUUUUUGAGUAACGUUAGUGGUUUGAUCUCGUAUCUGCCUAAUUUGAAAGCCUGCAAUAAUGCAGUUUGACCAGUGUGGCGCUGUAGCGCAAGAUUGUAAUACACUCUCCUGAUUCAAUUCAAAAGAAGAAGAUAGCACUUCAGUUUGAGGCAAACCGAUCCGAUCCGAACCGAACAUUGGAUGAAUAUAUUUGUGCAGAAUUUGAGACAUACAGAAUUACCAUAGGCCCAUUAGAAUCAACAAUCUUUGCACAACUUGAUCCGGACUGCAAAACUUACGAAGAUGUUUGCAUACUGAAGAAGAGUCCUUGGACAAAUAAUGAAACCCUCUUGGUGCCCACUACACAGGCAGGGGUGUCCAGACCUGAUCUAAGAAAGCCAGUGUUCUGUGGAGUUCAGCUCUAACACACCUGCCUGGAACUUCAGACUAAUGAAAUUGAAGUAUCCAAUGAAGACCCUAGCAGUAUGGA